UUCGACGGACGACGGAGGCGGCGGCUCCUGGCCGUCUGUCCACCGGCGAAGGGGAGGACGACGCGGCAGCGCGCUGCGCCGUGUCUGCGUGCGCGCGUGUGAGUGUGUGUGAGUCAGUGCGAAAUUGAGAGAAGGUGAGAACGAGCGAAGGGAGGAAAGGUGGUGGCCGUGGUCUUGACGCGGCAGCGGAUCUGCCGCGAAGACGACGGAGGCAGCGGCGGCGCACCGCUUUGACGGCGGCGUGCGUCCUGUUU
This 254-nucleotide long non-coding RNA is filed under the name Salvia miltiorrhiza (redroot sage). RNAcentral's name for it is "long non-coding RNA (SMIL_LNC011793)". The record is from RNAcentral. Lineage: Eukaryota; Viridiplantae; Streptophyta; Magnoliopsida; Lamiales; Lamiaceae.